CAGUUACUUGCUAGAUUCAAAAAUAAAACCAUUUCUCUUUUCCAUCUUCUCCAACCAGCAAGAGGCUCUUAAAAGAAGAAAAGCCUCAGUUCUGGGUGCCAGAAAUCUGAAAUAAAUUUUUGUUGCUGACAUCAAGGUAUCUGCAGAACUGGUUUCUUCUGGAGGCUCCAGCUUCAAGAAUCACACUCUCAAGCAGAAGGCGAUCUAAGAGAAAGCAAGAGGCACACUACUCCAGGUUGGUAAGUAGUCAAAAAUUUAUUCAGGGGAAACUUACAUAUGAGGCAGUCUUGGGUGCAGCAA
Molecule: long non-coding RNA, 300 nt
Filed under: Callithrix jacchus (white-tufted-ear marmoset)
Lineage: Eukaryota; Metazoa; Chordata; Mammalia; Primates; Cebidae
Description: lncRNA (ENSCJAG00000058757.2)
Source: RNAcentral